GACGAACGCUGGCGGCGUGCUUAACACAUGCAAGUCGAACGGAAAGGCCCUGCUUUUGUGGGGUGCUCGAGUGGCGAACGGGUGCGUAACACGUGAGUAACCUGACCUUGACUUUGGGAUAACUUCAGGAAACUGGGGCUAAUAUCGGAUAGGAGCUCCUGCUGCAUGGUGGGGGUUGGAAAGUUUCUGCGGGUGGGGAUGGACUCGCGGCUUAUCAGCUUGUUGGUGGGGUAGUGGCUUACCAAGGCUUUGACGGGUAGCCGGCCUGUGAGGGUGACCGGCGACAUGGGGCCUGAGAUACGGCCCAGACGCCUACAUGGGGCAGCAGGGGCGAAUAUGGCACAAUGGUCGGAAGCCGGAGGCAGCAACGCCGCGUGCGGGAUGACGGCCUUCGGGUUGUAAACCGCUUUCGCCUGUUACGAAGCUGGAGUGACGGUAAUGGGUAAAGAAGCACCGGCUAACUACGUG
Molecule: ribosomal RNA, 468 nt
Filed under: uncultured bacterium
Lineage: Bacteria
Description: partial 16S ribosomal RNA
Rfam family: Bacterial small subunit ribosomal RNA
Source: RNAcentral